UACGUAGGGUGCGAGCGUUAAUCGGAAUUACUGGGCGUAAAGCGCGCGCAGGCGGUUCCUUAAGUCUGAUGUGAAAGCCCCCGGCUCAACCGGGGAGGGUCAUUGGAAACUGGGGAACUUGAGUGCAGGAGAGGAAAGCGGAAUUCCACGUGUAGCGGUGAAAUGCGUAGAUAUGUGGAGGAACACCAGUGGCGAAGGCGGCUUUCUGGUCUGUAACUGACGCUGAGGCGCGGAAGCGUGGGGAGCAAACAGG
Molecule: ribosomal RNA, 253 nt
Filed under: uncultured bacterium
Lineage: Bacteria
Description: partial 16S ribosomal RNA
Rfam family: Bacterial small subunit ribosomal RNA
Source: RNAcentral